CAAUAGCGUAUAUUUAAGUUGUUGCAGUUAAAAAGCUCGUAGUUGGAUUUCGGAUGGGAUUUGCCGGUCCGUCGUUACGAUGUGCACUGGCCAGUCCUAUCUUGUUGUCGGGGACUAGCUCCUUGGAUUCACUUCCUGGGACUAGGAGCUGACGAGGUUACUUUGAGUAAAUUAGAGUGUUCAAAGCAAGCCUACGCUCUGAAUACAUUAGCAUGGAAUAACACGAUAGGACUCUGGCUUAUCUUGUUGGUCUGUGAGACCAGAGUAAUGAUUAAGAGGGACAGUCGGGGACAUUCGUAUUUCAUUGACAGAGGUGAAAUUCUUGGAUUUAUGAAAGACGAACUUCUGCGAAAGCAUUUGUCAAGGAUGUUUUCAUUAA
Molecule: ribosomal RNA, 379 nt
Filed under: uncultured eukaryote
Lineage: Eukaryota
Description: partial 18S ribosomal RNA
Rfam family: Eukaryotic small subunit ribosomal RNA
Source: RNAcentral